RNAcentral lists this ribosomal RNA (1217 nucleotides) under Brevundimonas sp. 4S_B4_1CS2014. RNAcentral describes it as "bacterial SSU rRNA". It matches the Rfam family "Bacterial small subunit ribosomal RNA", at positions 84 to 1354 of the family's 1533-position model. Lineage: Bacteria; Pseudomonadati; Pseudomonadota; Alphaproteobacteria; Caulobacterales; Caulobacteraceae. The record is from RNAcentral.
ACUCCGCUAAGCUGGCGGAGGGUGAGUACACGUGGGACGUGCCUUUAAGUUCGGAAUAACUCGGGGAAACUUGUGCUAAUACCGAAUGUGCCCUUCGGGGGAAAGAUUUGUCGCCUUUAGAGCGGCCCGCGUCUGAUUAGCUAGUUGGUGAGGUAAAGGCUCACCAAGGCGACGAUCAGUAGCUGGUCUGAGAGGAUGAUCAGCCACAUUGGGACUGAGACACGGCCCAAACUCCUACGGGAGGCAGCAGUGGGGAAUCUUGCGCAAUGGGCGAAAGCCUGACGCAUCCAUGCCGCGUGAAUGAUGAAGGUCUUAGGAUUGUAAAAUUCUUUCAGUAGGGACGAUAAUGACGGUACCUACAGAAGAAGCCCCGGCUAACUUCGUGCCAGCAGCCGCGGUAAUACGAAGGGGGCUAGCGUUGCUCGGAAUUACUGGGCGUAAAGGGAGCGUAGGCGGACAUUUAAGUCAGGGGUGAAAUCCCGGGGCUCAACCUCGGAAUUGCCUUUGAUACUGGGUGUCUUGAGUGUGAGAGAGGUAUGUGGAACUCCGAGUGUAGAGGUGAAAUUCGUAGAUAUUCGGAAGAACACCAGUGGCGAAGGCGACAUACUGGCUCAUUACUGACGCUGAGGCUCGAAAGCGUGGGGAGCAAACAGGAUUAGAUACCCUGGUAGUCCACGCCGUAAACGAUGAUUGCUAGUUGUCGGGAUGCAUGCAUUUCGGUGACGCAGCUAACGCAUUAAGCAAUCCGCCUGGGGAGUACGGUCGCAAGAUUAAAACUCAAAGGAAUUGACGGGGGCCCNNGCACAAGCGGUGGAGCAUGUGGUUUAAAUUCGAAGCAACGCGCAGARGCCCUUACCACCNUUUUUGACAUGCCUGGACCGCCAGAGAGAUCNUGGCUUUCCCUUCGGGGACUANGGACACAGGUGCUGCAUGGCUGUCGUCAGCUCGUGUCGUGAGAUGUUGGGUUAAGUCCCGCACCGAGCGCAACCCUCGCCAUUAGUUGCCAUCAUUUAGUUGGGAACUCUAAUGGGACUGCCGGUGCUAAGCCGGAGGAAGGUGGGGAUGANCGUCAAGUCCUCAUGGCCCUUACAGGGUGGGCUACACACGUGCUACAAUGGCGAGUACAGAGGGUUAAUCCUUAAAAGUCGUCUCAGUUCGGAUUGUCCUCUGCAACUCGAGGGCAUGAAGUUGGAAUCGCUAGUAAUCGCGGAUCGGCU